AAUCAGCGGGGAAAGACGACCCUGUUGAGCUUGACUCUAGUCUGGCGCUGUGAAGAGACAUGAGAGGUGUAGGAUAAGUGGGAGGCCCCGCGGUCGCGCGACCCGCGCCGCGGCUCCGGCCGGC
RNAcentral lists this non-coding RNA (124 nucleotides) under Anas platyrhynchos (mallard). Its description in RNAcentral is "Eukaryotic large subunit ribosomal RNA". It matches the Rfam family "Eukaryotic large subunit ribosomal RNA", at positions 2392 to 2487 of the family's 3401-position model. Lineage: Eukaryota; Metazoa; Chordata; Aves; Anseriformes; Anatidae. The record is from Rfam by way of RNAcentral.